GGGGAGUAUGGUCGCAAGGCUGAAACUUAAAGGAAUUGACGGAAGGGCACCACCAGGAGUGGAGCCUGCGGCUUAAUUUGACUCAACACGGGGAAACUUACCAGGUCCAGACAUAGUAAGGAUUGACAGACUGAGAGCUCUUUCUUGAUUCUAUGGGUGGUGGUGCAAGGUCGUUCUUAGUUGGUGGAGCAAUUUGUCCAGUUAAUUCCGUUAACGAACGAGACCUCAGCCUGCUAACUAGCUAUGCGGAGGUAUCCCUUCGCAGCUAGCUUCUUAGAGGGACUAUGGCCUUUUAGGCCGCGGAAGUUAGAGGCAAUAGCAGGUCUGUGAUGCCCUUAGAUGUUCUGGGCUGCACGCGCGCUACACUGAUGUAUUCAACGAGCUUAUAUCCUUGGCCGACAGGCCCGGGUAAUCUUUGAAAUUUCAUCGUUAUGGGGAUAGAUCAUUGCAAUUGUUGGUCUUCAACGAGGAAAAUCCCCAUGUCUUCAAGUUAUGAAAUAUAUGAUGUGGGAUUUUGACCU
This 521-nucleotide ribosomal RNA is filed under the name Solanum tuberosum (potato). RNAcentral describes it as "rRNA SSU_rRNA_eukarya". It matches the Rfam family "Eukaryotic small subunit ribosomal RNA", at positions 1118 to 1636 of the family's 1831-position model. Lineage: Eukaryota; Viridiplantae; Streptophyta; Magnoliopsida; Solanales; Solanaceae. The record is from RNAcentral.